CAGGACCAAUAACACCUUUUCUCCUUCCUCCAUCACAACCAUCUCCACCAUCAUUAUCACCAGAUGGCAUCAAUCAAAACCCCAGCUGCUAGAGAAGAAUAGCUAAAGGUAAACCUGCCAUACCUGAAGCCUUAAAGAAGGUUCUAUUUGGAGAACUUUUGAAUCACACCCAUCUCUGAGCAGGAAGAAGCUGCUGUGUACUCCUUGGCCAGGAGCUUUGUUACGAUGACUUGAAGCCCACUGAUAAAACAGCUUUGCCAGUACUCCUAUGGGAGGCUCAUGCUUGGAAGAACAAGGUGGACAUUUACUAGUGCCCUGCCUGUCGCCAUGAGGACAACUGAGACAAUAUCCUUUUAAAAUACCUUUCACAGAGAUUUUGCUGUAUUUUCCUUUGAAGGCAUAACAAAUAUCUAAGAACCUUGCCCACAUUAAAAAAAAAAAAAAAUGGGUCACAUGUUUUUGCUAAAAAAAAAAAGCAGCUAUUUUUAUUUCCUUGUAUCCUUGUAACAUAACAGUUAUAAACAGCUGAACUAAAUUUUUAAUUAUCCUUUUUAAAAGAUUUUUUUAAAAAGUAAAGGUUAUUCCUAGGCUGACACUGAAUAUGCCAGGUCUGUAGCUAGAAGCAAAUUUUUAUAGCUGGUUAUAAACCCCUGAAAUAUGAGUUUAUACUGGAAAAGCUGAAGCAAUCUUAACUCUAAGUAUGCCGAUGGGCGCCACUUUAAUUACAGUCCCAGAAUCAAAUAAAACAGUCUCUCUUCUACAGUAGCAUCACAAAGAACCCCAUUAACUCUGCAAUUACUAAAUGAGGAAACAACAUUCUCUAGAGCCCAAGCCAAGGAAAAAAGAACAGUGCAUGUUCCAACAUAAAGCCUUAAAGCCAGCUUCAAAGUUACAGUCAGCAUAAGGAGGCGCUCCCCUGCACCGGUAAUGUUUACUUCGCUCAUUUAAAAUAAGUGAGAGUCUUUGCCAAGGCUCACAUAAGACUAUUUGUUUAACAAAUAAAAAUGUGUGUUUCCUGGAGUGUUUCUAAUUGGGGUUUGAGAUCCCACCUCCUAAGAAAUUCUGGGCUUGGAUACCUCCCGCAGGCACAAUGCCUCUGACGGUGUGGGUAUCCCCUAUUGAGAGGAGUAGAGGGUCUGGUGCUCAUAAGGGAGCAUGCACAUGGCAAAAUACACAGAACAAAUGGUUUGUGUCCCACCAACGCAUCCAUCACCCUUUCAACAGGAAAGAAAGCUGGGGAAGGUCAAAACGAUAUCCAGUAGGAUUUGUAAAUCGAGCUAUUCAGUAGGCAAGCAGACUUUAAAAAUAGCAACUUGGGGGAGGAGAAGUUCCCCUCAUCUCCUCCCUUCACUCCCUUACUCCAGCCUCCCCACUCUGCCCUGCUGCCCCCGCUGUCUCUGCAACAGCGGUAAAGCAGCCCUGUUUUCAAAACCAUGCGAACAUCUUGGGAAAUGCCAGGGCAAAAUCAAAGAUUCUUUGGCUGGGUGUGUAAUAUAAAACUUGAAGUUGUUCCUGUUAAAUAAAAACAGCCAUGUUAAUUUUGGUGCCAUUGAAAACACAGGAAAAUGCUGUUGCCAAAUGGAAAGGGAGGAAAAAAAAAGCUUACCAAAUGGGAAGCAGUUGUAUUUUCAAGACUCAAGAAGGGUACAUUACAAAAACUAGAGAGCAAAAUCAAAAGAGGAAAAAGAUGUAAAAGAAUGGUUGUUUUCUCUAUUUAAUUCUUCUCCCCCCAUCAAGGUAAAGGAACGUAUCCCCAACUCCCUAGAGGAGAGAGGAAACUCAAGUCUCUGGGGUUCGCUGCCUUGGUCUAUAAAUAUGGAAACAUUUUCUCGCUGGGGCCCUGGUCCCACCCUUCUGGAAAUGCUCUCAAUAACACUCCCGUGGUUUACAGAUUUGGUGAGCUACUCGGCAACCAGACAAAAUAUUCUGUACUCAAGAUCCUGUUUUGAGCUGAGUUUGACAAAUGGUUGAAGGAGCAUAAUCAUAGAAGCAGAAAUUGUUUAUUUUCUGGUUCCACCUGAAAGUUAGCGACUACUCCCUGCAGUGUUCCAAGUAUUUCUGAGUUUUUAAACGCAGUAGAUGCCAAACUCUACUUGUAAUGAUUGGUAUAAUUGCAAGUGAUUCGCAGGAGACCAUCCUUGGCUGGUUUUAACAUCUUUGAACAAGAAACCGGAAAAGGAAAGAAGGAAAAGAAAGCUAAGACCAAAGACUCUUGAAAUCCUCUUUUAGGGGUGAGAUUCUGGAACAUUGAUUUGCUGGGCUUUUGGGUUUUUUUUAGAUUUAGACAAGGAGAGCAGGAGCUCGACUCCCAAUGAGCUAAAGCCCCACCCCAGGCUUGAUCUCAGGAUCCUGAGAUCAUGACCUGAGCGGAAACCAAGAGGUAGAUGCUCAACAGACUGAGCCAUCCAGGCGCCCCUGCUUUGUUGUUGCUGUUACUACUAAAAAAUGUGUUAUGAGAGAACUUUUUUAUUUUAAUUUGGAGGACAGUUGUAAUGGUGAUUCCUGAGAGGGUAACUCUCUUGCUUAAACUGGUGUCCAGACACUAAGGAAAUCACACUAGCUAUCUUUGCCAAAAUUAAAAUUACCUUCAUCACCAUAGCUAUUCCUAUGUACACUCUUUCCGUCACUUUAUAAAUAAUAAGUAAAUAAGCUGAAUGUCAUCUACAUGCCUGGUACUGUGUAGCAUGCUGGCUAUGGUACAAUUCAACAUCAGGUGAAUAUUUUUCAUAGAUGGUAUUUUUUUUUUUUCAUUCCAAGGGUAUGGCUUCCACAAACUGACAUCUUGGCAGUGCCCCAGAUUCUUGGUAAUGGCCAUGAGUGCAUGAUAACCCUGGCCCUGAAACAAAAUCCAAGUUAGAUUUCUCCAGUUCUGAAGUUAUUGUGCAAUAUAAAACUUGAAGUUGUUCCUGUUAAAAUAAAAACAGCCAUAUUUUCAAAUUCCAAAUUUAAAUAAAUAAUACCUAAAAACUCAAUGCCGCAGGGCAGCCAACAUUGUAGCUCACUCUACCCCUCCUUCCAUUCUUUCCACCAUGGAAACCCAGGGAAGGACCAAGGGGAACAUGGGGGAUGACAUCGGGGCAGGCCGUGACCACUCAAGACUCCCCGAGUGGGGGCUCACCAGGUAAGAAACUUCAUCAGAUCCUCCGGAGAAUUGAGCCAAGAGAGGUUAACAGCUUCUUGGAAGGCUUGAAUUCAAAUUCAAGGAGAAUUAAAGAACUUAGAAAAGUAAUGAAAUAAAAUGAACUUCCAGGAACACAUGCAACCCAGUCUGAAGUGAGGAAUGACUAGCCAUGUGUUAAAAAGCAGUAAAAGGGAGCUGUAAUAGUCCCUAAAUGGAAAGCGAGUCAGCCGCCCAGCACCGUUGUUAAAUAGAAGAUCUUGAAAUUGGUGGAUGAAAUCAUGGCACCAGGGAGACAUGGUUCAGAUCGCAGGCUCUGUGGUCAGAGACCCAGGCUGAGCUUCACCUGUGUCACUUGGGAGACUAAGCAGGACACAACUAUUCUUUUCUGUUUCUUCAUCUACAAAAUGCCAGUAACACUACCGUCCACCCCACAGCGGUUGUCAGGCUUAUGUGGGACAGCCCAUGAAAUGUCUCUACACCAGUAUUGGGUCUAGAAUGAAGUGCUUCAUAAAUGGGUCCUCUGUUCACCAAGGAGAUACACCUUUGCAGCUUCCUGCACCUGGUUUGGACUUCUCAAUUUCUGGACAGUGAAGAGAACUAGAAAGUGAUCCAGAAGAAAGCAAGUGAGAUGAUCAAAGAAAAGGCAAACAGAAACCACAAAAAGGAACUCACAACUGUUGGGAUUAUCUAGCCUAGAAAAGCAAAAGCUGGAAGGUUUAGCAACAAAGCAAAUAAGCAGUAAAGCACCCCAUUGUUCAGCAUGGGGUGACCAGCUCUUCUGCUGCUGGAGUUCGGCCAUGGGAGAAGAAAUAGAGAACAGACUUCUUUCAACAACUCGGGGCCUCAGGCAUGGAUGCCAAGGAAGAAGUAUUCCCAGCACCACCAUGUAUGGCUCAGAAAGCAGAGGGAAGACUCAAAGUUAAAAAAGAUAAAUCUCAAACAGCUGCAACAGAGGACCCUGGACCACGGAGGUAAGGUCAAAAUCAUUCCCAAACGUGUCUUCCCAGACAGCACUGAAGCGGAGGAGGGGCCCCUGCCCCCUACCCUAGGGAAUCUGGUCACCGGACCGGACCAUAAAGAGCCAAGCUGGAGGGUCCUGGAGGCUGGCAAGCUUUCUGGGCCCGAUUUCCUGCAGUGGCCUGGGGCUGGAGCCCCCUACCAGGCAGUGUGCCCCUCUCAGCUCUGGGGGCCUAAUCUCCUGAUUGGUUGCAGCUCUGCAAGAAGGUAUCAAAGCCAGAAAGAAAUGGUUUGAAGCCAAACAGAGGGGUGAGAGAGCAGGGA
This is a long non-coding RNA of Canis lupus familiaris (dog), 4402 nucleotides long. RefSeq lists it as uncharacterized. Lineage: Eukaryota; Metazoa; Chordata; Mammalia; Carnivora; Canidae. The record is from RefSeq and is a predicted model, not a curated record. The transcript is spliced from 4 exons.